This 253-nucleotide ribosomal RNA is filed under the name uncultured bacterium. RNAcentral's name for it is "partial 16S ribosomal RNA". It matches the Rfam family "Bacterial small subunit ribosomal RNA", at positions 524 to 776 of the family's 1533-position model. The record is from RNAcentral.
GACAGAGGUGCCGAGCGUUAGGCGGAAUCACUGGGCUUAAAGCGUGUGUAGGCGGAUCCGUAAGUACCUUGUGAAAUCCCACGGCUCAACCGUGGAACUGCUUGGUAUACUGCGGGUCUUGAGCCAUCUAGGGGCAACCGGAACAAACGGUGGAGCGGUGAAAUGCGUAGAUAUCAAGAGGAACACCUGAGGUGAAGACGGGUUGCUGGGCCGACACUGACGCUGAUGCGCGAAAGCCAGGGGAGCAAACGGG